UCCCUUUCAGUGUCGCACCUGGAGAGUUUCCAGUCCUCUACCAGUCUCGAUUAUGGGAGGGAGAGUCAAGCAGAGGCCUAUCCAUUCCAUUCCUAGCUUACCAGUGGCUAGCGAGUGGAAGACCAUCUGCUACAAGU
This is a small nucleolar RNA of Ornithorhynchus anatinus (platypus), 137 nucleotides long. The record is from RefSeq and is a predicted model, not a curated record. Lineage: Eukaryota; Metazoa; Chordata; Mammalia; Monotremata; Ornithorhynchidae.